Molecule: long non-coding RNA, 710 nt
Organism: Hylaeus volcanicus
Lineage: Eukaryota; Metazoa; Arthropoda; Insecta; Hymenoptera; Colletidae
Exons: 3
Source: RefSeq, a predicted model, not a curated record
GCUCGCAGCAUCCCAGAGCAUGCUCGGAUUCUAUAAAGUCGACGGAAAAGGGCACGACAAAGGAAGCUUGGCCGUGUAAAAAUGAACGAGGAUCAACCACUUCGGGCUUUAUUGGAAGCGGUUUAUUAACGUUGGACUUGUCGCAUCGAGGACGCAGCGGCAUCGCCGCAGGAUCCGAGGUCCGAUUCCGUUUGGCGUACCCUUGAAUACGAAUUAGCGGUCUCGAAUGGAAACUGUGCUGCCCGAUGGAAAGCAGGCAGACGAGGUCAGGAAGGGGCAAACGUAUGGGUUUGCGGACCAGAGGUUCGAGAAAGCAGUCGAGUGCAGGCGGUACGUGUCAUGGCUCGGCUUUCUACCAUUUCCUUAAGAACGAGCGAUGCUUUGAGCGUUUUUUGCUCGGAAGCGUCGCGAUGCGGAUAUCAGCGGUGGCUGCUAACGGGAAAUUACUUCUAAAGCGCUCUACGCGCCUCUGGGAUUUGUGGGCUAUUUUAAGAAAAUUCAUAUUUAACGCGACCAAGUUCGCGAGUUUGUUUCGUUUUAGCGUGCUUCGCGUCUGGCACCAAUUUGCUCUAAAUGAGACAUUGUUGGGAAGAUGAGAGUGCAACCUAUCGACGAAGGUGUAAGAAAUAUUGAUCGGAGUAAGUGAAAACGUUGAUCUAAAUAUUACGUCAUUGAAUGCUCUUGUAAAACUGAACCUUAAUAAAGCUUAG